UCAAACUUGGUCAUUUAGAGGAAGUACAAGUCGUAACAAGGUAUCCGUAGGUGAACCUGCGGAUGGAUCAUUACCAAAGGACACUCAAAAUGUCUUGUGAACUCUUUCGACUUAAAACGGUCUGGGUCAACAUUGCUUGGUCCAGGCUGGUACACAUCAAACCUUUCAACACUUUAAACUUACAUCCUUGAGAACAAAACCUAAAAUAACUUUUAGCAAUGGAUCUCUUGGCUCUCGCAUCGAUGAAGAACGCAGC
RNAcentral lists this unclassified non-coding RNA (256 nucleotides) under uncultured fungus. RNAcentral describes it as "partial contains small subunit ribosomal RNA, internal transcribed spacer 1, and 5.8S ribosomal RNA". The stretch from base 1 to 73 matches the Rfam family "Eukaryotic small subunit ribosomal RNA", at positions 1759 to 1831 of the family's 1831-position model. Lineage: Eukaryota; Fungi. The record is from RNAcentral.